GUGCACAGGGCUCUGACCUAUGAAUUGACAGCCAGUGCUGUCAGCUCCCCUCUGGCUGCCAAUUCCAUAGGUCACAGGUAUGUUCGCC
Cavia aperea (Brazilian guinea pig) is the source of this 88-nucleotide microRNA precursor. Ensembl annotates it as microRNA 192. The record is from Ensembl. NCBI's taxonomy places the organism in Eukaryota, Metazoa, Chordata, Mammalia, Rodentia, Caviidae.